GGGUCAGUAGGUUGGUCGUGCCACCGGUACGUACUGGUCUCACUGAUUCCUCCUUCCUGAAGAACCGUAAUGCCAUUAAUUUGGUGUUGCGGGGAAACAGGACUGUUACUUUGAAAAAAUUAGAGUGUUUAAAGCAGGCUAACGCUUGAAUACAUUAGCAUGGAAUAAUGAAAUAGGACGAUCGAUCCUAUUUUGUCGGUUUCUAGGAUUGACGUA
Molecule: ribosomal RNA, 216 nt
Filed under: Glomeromycotina sp.
Lineage: Eukaryota; Fungi; Glomeromycota
Description: partial small subunit ribosomal RNA
Rfam family: Eukaryotic small subunit ribosomal RNA (bases 40-216)
Source: RNAcentral